Non-coding RNA from Artibeus jamaicensis (Jamaican fruit-eating bat), 170 nucleotides. RefSeq annotates it as small Cajal body-specific RNA 16. The record is from RefSeq and is a predicted model, not a curated record. Lineage: Eukaryota; Metazoa; Chordata; Mammalia; Chiroptera; Phyllostomidae. The transcript has a single exon.
AUGGUCUGGGGGAAGGCUCCCAUGCAGUUGAACCUGCCCUGUUGCGGGUGCAGCCCUGCCCCAACCUCAGGUCAACUCCCAGGAGAAGUUUCUCCAGGGUUUUGAGUUCGCAGUAAUGGGUGUGACCAUUCUAGCCGCAGCUUGAUGAUCAUGUAUGACUUCAAAAGACA